AUUGAACGCUGGCGGCAGGCCUAACACAUGCAAGUCGAGCGGAUGAAGGGAGCUUGCUCCUGGAUUCAGCGGCGGACGGGUGAGUAAUGCCUAGGAAUCUGCCUGGUAGUGGGGGAUAACGUCCGGAAACGGGCGCUAAUACCGCAUACGUCCUGAGGGAGAAAGUGGGGGAUCUUCGGACCUCACGCUAUCAGAUGAGCCUAGGUCGGAUUAGCUAGUUGGUGGGGUAAAGGCCUACCAAGGCGACGAUCCGUAACUGGUCUGAGAGGAUGAUCAGUCACACUGGAACUGAGACACGGUCCAGACUCCUACGGGAGGCAGCAGUGGGGAACAUUGGACAGUGGGCGAAAGCCUGAUCCAGCCAUGCCGCGUGUGUGAAGAAGGUCUUCGGAUUGUAAAGCACUUUAAGUUGGGAGGAAGGGCAGUAAGUUAAUACCUUGCUGUUUUGACGUUACCAACAGAAUAAGCACCGGCUAACUUCGUG
Molecule: ribosomal RNA, 484 nt
Filed under: uncultured bacterium
Lineage: Bacteria
Description: partial 16S ribosomal RNA
Rfam family: Bacterial small subunit ribosomal RNA
Source: RNAcentral